UGGACCCUACCAAAUUGUAAUUCUUGGUCAUAUAGGGUGUGAAUACCGAGCCACACACUUAGAAACCCAUAUCCUACGUUUUUGGUUUCAUUCUCCUAGGGUUUCUCUUGUUUGAACAUGCUUUCAUGGGUGCUUGCUUGGUGCCACGGUUUUGGACCAUUUUUAAUGAAGAUGAUGCAGAUUUUCUUAUUCCCUUGACUUACUCUUAGUUGUCUUAACUCAUUUGUGGUGAAAAUCCUUUCAUUCCUUCUUCCAUGUGCUUGUUCUUUGGAGUUGGAAGCUUGAGCUUUUAAGCUUUUCUUUGCAUUUUCAUGGUGUUUCUUGGGUUUGAAUGAAGUUAUAUUUUCUUUUUCCUCUCCAUUUACUUCAGUACUCACGGUUUUCCUUUUCAUUUUGGUUGGUUGGUUGAUGAAAAUGGGGUUCUAUGUGAGUUUUGGGUUGAAGAGAGCUUAAGGUGUUGUGUGGGUGUUGUGGUUUUGGCUCUUUUCUUCCACAUUUCGGUUUUGAUGUUUGAAAAUAGUUUGGAACAAGAGCUUGAAGAAAUGGAAGAUUGGGUUGAGUUGAAGUAGUAGUAGUAGUGUGGGUUUAUUGUCUUGAAUGGUGUUGCAACUUGAAAUGGGGUUUCUUAGGUGUGUGUUCUCGGUUUUGGAAGAUGGAGAAGCUUUGGAUGUUUGCUUUGGUAGAGGAAAAUCGAAAAUGGGUUGAAAGGGAGAAAGAAAAUGGUGCAUUUAAGUUUUUACCCGAUUUGGACAAACAAAUGUUAAGACCCAAUUUCCAUAGAAGGAAUUUUGCCAUUUUGGUUUUGGACUUUGUUAGCAAUUGCCG
RNAcentral lists this long non-coding RNA (825 nucleotides) under Vigna radiata. RNAcentral describes it as "long non-coding RNA (VRAD_LNC015697)". Lineage: Eukaryota; Viridiplantae; Streptophyta; Magnoliopsida; Fabales; Fabaceae. The record is from RNAcentral.